Molecule: long non-coding RNA, 330 nt
Organism: Mirounga angustirostris (Northern elephant seal)
Lineage: Eukaryota; Metazoa; Chordata; Mammalia; Carnivora; Phocidae
Exons: 3
Source: RefSeq, a predicted model, not a curated record
UUUCAAGAUGCAUAGCCAUGAGAAGAUUCUGCCUGAAAACUCUAUGUACUGGUCUAGCUGUCGAGGAAGUCAGCUGAGUCCUAGCUUAUCCCUUCUGUCACUUGAGUGAAUCUACUUGACCUCAAAUAGAUUAAGGACUUGCCCAAUAACAAACGGAAAAUCAGUUGCAAAGAGAUUGUGAAAAGAGCCAUCACUAACCCUCUCACUGGAAAUCGCUGACUUGUAUUAUAUGUAGUACACCUGGGCACUUUUGCACCUGGGCUCAUCUCUUGAUGUCUUAUAGUGGCAAUGGUGAGAAGAGACAGAAGGAAAACCUAAAGGACAAAAAAA